RNAcentral lists this ribosomal RNA (253 nucleotides) under uncultured bacterium. RNAcentral describes it as "partial 16S ribosomal RNA". It matches the Rfam family "Bacterial small subunit ribosomal RNA", at positions 524 to 776 of the family's 1533-position model. The record is from RNAcentral.
UACGGGGGGGGCAAGCGUUGUUCGGAAUUACUGGGCGUAAAGGGCUCGUAGGCGGCCAACUAAGUCGGACGUGAAAUCCCUCGGCUCAACUGGGGAACUGCGUCCGAUACUGGAUGGCUUGAGUUCGGGAGAGGGAUGUGGAAUUCCAGGUGUAGCGGUGAAAUGCGUAGAUAUCUGGAGGAACACCGGUGGCGAAGGCGGCAUCCUGGACCGACACUGACGCUGAUGAGCGAAAGCCAGGGGAGCAAACGGG